RNAcentral lists this ribosomal RNA (468 nucleotides) under uncultured bacterium. RNAcentral's name for it is "partial 16S ribosomal RNA". It matches the Rfam family "Bacterial small subunit ribosomal RNA", at positions 28 to 507 of the family's 1533-position model. The record is from RNAcentral.
GACGAACGCUGGCGGCGUGCUUAACACAUGCAAGUCGAACGGAAAGGCCCUGCUUUUGUGGGGUGCUCGAGUGGCGAACGGGUGAGUAACAAGUGAGUAACCUGCCCUUGACUUUGGGAUAACUUCAGGAAACUGGGGCUAAUACCGGAUAGGAGCUCCUGCUGCAUGGUGGGGGUUGGAAAGUUUCGGCGGUUGGGGAUGGACUCGCGGCUUAUCAGCUUGUUGGUGGGGUAGUGGCUUACCAAGGCUUUGACGGGUAGCCGGCCUGAGAGGGUGACCGGCCACAUUGGGACUGAAAUACGGCCCAGAGUCCUACGGGAGGCAGCAGUGGGGAAUAUUGCACAAUGGGCGGAAGCCUGAUGCAGCAACGCCGCGUGCGGGAUGACGGCCCUCGGGUUGUAAACCGCUUUCGCCUGUGACGAAGCGUGAGUGACGGUAAUGGGUAAAGAAGCACCGGCUAACUACGUG